Molecule: long non-coding RNA, 2389 nt
Organism: Mus musculus (house mouse)
Lineage: Eukaryota; Metazoa; Chordata; Mammalia; Rodentia; Muridae
Product: predicted gene, 52743
Exons: 3
Source: RefSeq, a predicted model, not a curated record
UCUCACCAGCACUUGGGAAAUGUCUUGCGCAAAAUGUUCCCUCAAGCCAGCUUUAUGCAGCUCCCUCAACCUACUGGUCCUGACACAGGCUCCUGCCGUACACCAGAGUGGCUGAUUCAUGGUCAAGGGGAAAUGCGGGGCUCCAACAGUUACCUUGCAGCCAUCCAUAGACACCUCUGGCCUGAACUGACCCCCAGCUUCGAAGACCUGUCCGUUCCAGGCACGGAAGCGCACAGCCUGUCUGGCAGAGGAGCGUCCCGGUCCCUCCUGCCACACCGUCAUGUUCAGACAGUGGAUUGUGAUAUGCUGUGUCCCCUCAGAGCUCAGCAGGUGCAAGAAAUUCAUCUGGACCCGACUCACAGCAAACUCGGCCUGUGGGGAAGAUGCAGGUGGGAAGCGGCCCCCAGCAACCCUGAGAUGCCCCACCGUCCUAGAGGGCACCGGGGACCAGAGGUCAUGUGAGAAGAGAUCCUACCAGUACCUCCGAUCUGACGGCUCCUUGAGCAUCCAUCCAUGUCUGGAAAGCUGCUCCAAGGUCAUCUUGCUGCUGUGUAAGAAAAGACAAGGCGUGUGUCCUGUACCCGUCCCAAGAGAAGCCAGAUUCUGAAAGUAGGAGCCAGGGCCCGAGCACCCACCCCACUCAGCCCCACCCCACCUCCUGUGACAGGGUCUUGACCAAGGCGCACAUCCCGUACUGAGCUCCUUCCCCCUUUGCAGAGUCAAUGUUGAAUAUGUCGCUCCCUCCCACUAAGUCCCUCACUAGCUCCCAGGGUCCUCUCGUAAGGCAUUCAAAUGCUUCAGCAUGGUUAGAAACCCUGUUUGCGUGCUGUGGUCUUCAUCCUUGUCUCCCUCCAUACAAGUUCUAGCACCAGGCACACACAGUUCUUCUAAGUCCCUAAAAGCUGUGCUUUGCCUAGCCCCAGGACCUUUCCACAUCUUCCACCCUGACUGGGGGGGGGGGUGGUGCGGGGGAGGGUAAGAGUCUUUCCUGUCUCCAACACAGUAUCUGGUUUUCUCAACUUGGGGUGAUCAUGCUCCCCAGAGGACACUGCGCCCCACCAGCUGGUGCAUUUUUGAUGGCUAUGACUAGGGGAAGAAAUACUUCUGCAUCUCAAGGUUGGAAGUAAGGAAUGCUGCUAAUCUAGCUCAGACAUGUAGCACAGCAAGGCUAGGCAGUGGUUAGCAGGGCUUUGUACCGGUUCUGUGAUGGAAGGCUUCUGUGGAUGUUUUUGCCUCUAGGCCGGUGAGGCACCUCCUCUAUAUCCCACAGACCCAAUGGCUCCACUGUAUUGCUCUUGGGAUUUUGGUACCCAGAUGGGUGGAGCACAUGACAAGGGGUCUGGAACAGGGCUGUUGGCAAUGGGGUGGGGGGGCUCCCAACUCUGCAUCUUCCCACUAAGGGGCCUGACUGAGGGUUCUCUGGUCUGGAAAAUAAGCUCUAUAAUAAUAAAGCAUUCUCCCAGAGCCACUAAACCAUUUCUAAUAGUGUCUGGCAUAUAAUGAGCAGAGGGCACAUUUCAGCUAUGGAUUAUAUAGCGCACGGGCCCUCCUUUUCUAUAUCCUGGAAGAAAAAGGACUUUACCUGGCUCUUCUUUCCCUGCCUGCCUUUCUGAUGAAGAGACCAGGUAUAUGCUUUGUAAAUACAGACAGCAGAGAGGGGGAGGGGGAGGGAGAGGCUGAGAUAGAACGCAGACUCUGAGUGUCUAGUAGCCCAGGGCUCCUUUUCCAUCCAGCUUUUUUUAUUACCACACCCCAGGGAUGCUGUUGGGGUCUGACCAGUGCUCACUGGAGUAGGAACAACAUGGGGCCUAGAUGGUUUCCAGGCUCAAAAGGCUGAGCUCUGAUGGGGCUGCUGUGCCCACCAGAAAGUAAAAGAGUCCAACUACACCUCAAUGCUUGACCCUCUGGACCCUGGGUCUGGGGAGGAGCGAGCCUGUCAUUAACGUGUGUGUGUGUGUGUGUGUGUGUGUGUGUGUGUGUGUGUGUGUGUGUGUAUGUAGGCAGAGACAGACCCUGGGGGCUGGAGCUAGAGCAGCCAACUGCUUCACAGUUGGGAACAUGGAUGGGACUCUUGCUCAGGGCUCCUUCUGUAGCUCAAGGCCCGUGGCUCCUGUUCAAAGGACAUCCUAGAGGUCCAGCCACUGUGGCCAGAGAAGGCUCAGCUGCUUCUCCCUUACCCACCCCGCAGCCUCAUCUCAGGGGGUCAAAAACACUGGUGCAACUUACAAACUGGAUGGGAUGCCAAGGAGGGCCCUGGAAAAGAAGGCAGAGGAUCAGUAUUUGGUAGCUACUUGUGCCGGAGACUUAGGUGGCUGGAGGCUGGAGGAGCUAUCCAGCAGGACAAAGCGUGCCAGGCCACAAGCCUGUGGGCAUGUUGGACUUCUUCUGA